UUUUUUUUUUUUUUUUUUUUUGAGAUGGAGUCUCACUCUGUCACCCAGGCUGAAGUACAGUGGCACAAUCUCGGCUCACUGCAACCUCCGCCUCUCCGGUUUAAGCGAUUCUUCUGCCUCAGCCUCCCAAGUAGCUGGGACUACUGGCAUGCACCAGCACACCCAGCUAAUUUUUGUAUUUUCAGUGGAAACAGGGUUCCACCAUAUUGGUCUCGAACUCCUGACCUCAUGAUCCAUCCACCUCAGCCUCCCAAAGUGCUGGGAUUACAGGUGUGAGCCACCGCCCCCUGCCUGCUCUAUUCUUACACUUUGGAAAAUAGAUCAAGGCAUACUACCAGCUUUUACACUUUUCUUUGGCUCUUCUGGUUUUUAUCACUGUUGAUUCUUAUUUUAAUAGUGUUUGCUUUUAAGGAACACAAGAGUCAAUUUUUGAGGAACAAAAUUUUGUUUAAUUUAAAAUGGCUCAUAACCAAAAAGAGAUCAAUAUAAGGAAUACAGGCAAGCUCUCAACUCCGGCAAGGAAAAGACAAGAAAACAGAUUUUCUUCUACAGCCUGCAGAAAGGAAUACAGUCCUGCGGACACCUUGAUUUUAGUCAAGUGUGACCUGCAUCAGACUUCUGACCUACUGACCUAUAAGCUAAUUAACUUGUGUUAUUUUAAGUUUGUGGUAAUUUGUUACAGUAGCAAUAGAAAAUUAAGACUCGUGUGCUGCUAGGUUAAUCAAUUUAAGAACAUGUCUGAUCAACCCUACUCCAACUCAAAAUUCUUCACAGCAAUGCUUUGCCUACCAAAUAUAGUUCAAAUGACUCAAGUUUACAUACAAAGGAUUUUACAAUUUUAUUGCAGACAUCUUCCACUAUUUUCCUUCACUACUACACACCUAAGAAAUGUCUUUAAGUCAUUCCCCAAAUUGCUCCUUAACAUUUUUGCCACUGUGUGUUUUCAUGCCUUUUGUCUGAAAUGUGCUUCUCUUCAUCUUCAUUUGCUGAAAUUCUAGUUGUCCUUCAAGUUCAAAAUUCAUUAUCACCUCCUCCACGUGGUCCUCUCUAAUUUCUCUAGUUGGUUAUCAGUCACUUUUCUCUUACGUGCUUUCUUGGCCAUUGUUUAUCUCUCUUAAUUUGGUUUUAUCUCUUUCUACCUUCUUUGAAGAAAUAUUGCUUUGUCCUUAUUAAAUAAAUAAGUUUUACAAGAACAAGAAUCUUGACUUUCAUCUUUGAAUUCCUAAAGCACCAACUUCAGGUCGUGGCACUGAGUAAAUACUCAAGAAAAUUCUAAAUUUUAUUUAUGAUAUUUCCUGUUGACCAGUUUAAAGAAGACCUGGUGUUUCUGAUCUGCUUUAAAUAAAACACUUUUGAUUUUUAGUUAUUAGUUUUAUUGAAUUACCUUAAUGGUACUGAAUAUUAUAUUAUGGUCCUAGAAGGUUGUCAUAAUAAACUCAUCUGAUACAACAAUACCAUCUGGGUCACUCUGUAGCAUACAAUGCAAUAAACACUAUAGGUAGUCAAUUAGACCAUGAAUAUUCUUGUAGUCUGAACAUUUCCCUAAGUUGAUAUGGCGGUUUAAUGGUAUGCCAGUGUUUCUUUCUUUAUCCUCUGACUUAGUUAUUUUUUCAUAUUUUGAAAAUAACAAUUCUGUUUUCUCUCAACAAUGUCAUCUCAGAGCUCU
Molecule: long non-coding RNA, 1666 nt
Organism: Macaca fascicularis (crab-eating macaque)
Lineage: Eukaryota; Metazoa; Chordata; Mammalia; Primates; Cercopithecidae
Source: Ensembl